UGGGGAAUAUUGGACGAUGGACCGAGAGUCUGAUCCAGCAAUUCUGUGUGCACGAUGAAGUUUUUCGGAAUGUAAAGUGCUUUCAGUUGGGAAGAAAGAAAUGGCGGUACCAACAGAAGAAGUGACGGCUAAAUACGUGCCAGCAGCCGCGGUAAUACGUAUGUCACGAGCGUUAUCCGGAUUUAUUGGGCGUAAAGCGCGUCUAGGUGGUUAUGUAAGUCUGAUGUGAAAAUGCAGGGCUCAACUCUGUAUUGCGUUGGAAACUGUAUAACUAGAGUACUGGAGAGGUAAGCGGAACUACAAGUGUAGAGGUGAAAUUCGUAGAUAUUUGUAGGAAUGCCGAUGAGGAAGCCAGCUUACUGGACAGAUACUGACGCUAAAGCGCGAAAGCGUGGGUAGCAAACAGGAUUAGAUACCCUGGUAGUCCACGCUGUAAACGAUGAUUACUAGGUGUUGGGGGUCGAACCUCAGCGCCCAAGCAAACGCGAUAAGUAAUCCGCCUGGGGAGUACGUACGCAAGUAUG
This 524-nucleotide ribosomal RNA is filed under the name uncultured bacterium. RNAcentral describes it as "bacterial SSU rRNA". It matches the Rfam family "Bacterial small subunit ribosomal RNA", at positions 355 to 896 of the family's 1533-position model. The record is from RNAcentral.